Molecule: ribosomal RNA, 412 nt
Filed under: uncultured bacterium
Lineage: Bacteria
Description: bacterial SSU rRNA
Rfam family: Bacterial small subunit ribosomal RNA
Source: RNAcentral
CCUACGGGAGGCAGCAGGGGGGAAUCUUGCACAAUGGGCGAAAGCCUGACGCAGCGAUGCCGCGUGGGGGAUGAAGGCUCUCGGGUCGUAAACCCCUUUCAGCAGGGACGAAAAUGACGGUACCUGCAGAAGAAGCCCCGGCCAACUACGUGCCAGCAGCCGCGGUAACACGUAGGGGGCGAGCGUUGUCCGGAUUUAUUGGGCGUAAAGAGCUCGUAGGCUGUUCAGUAAGUCAGGUGUGAAAACCCAAGGCUCAACCCUGRGACGCCACUUGAUACUGCUGUGACUAGAGUCCGGUAGAGGAGAUUGGAAUUCCUGGUGUAGCGGUGAAAUGCGCAGAUAUCAGGAGGAACACCAAUGGCGAAGGCAGAUCUCUGGGCCGGUACUGACGCUGAGGAGCGAAAGCGUGGGG